Molecule: long non-coding RNA, 842 nt
Organism: Salvia miltiorrhiza (redroot sage)
Lineage: Eukaryota; Viridiplantae; Streptophyta; Magnoliopsida; Lamiales; Lamiaceae
Exons: 3
Source: RefSeq, a predicted model, not a curated record
AUUAAUCUUAACCCUUAAUUAAAUGAUGAUUCACGGUCAAGAUUACACCCAAUUUCUAAUUAUUACCUUUUUAUUAAUUUACUGAAUAAUCAAAUUUAAUUGUAGCAAAUUCGUUGGGGGUUAUGAAUGGUAUUUCGCCUAUUUACUGAACAAACCUCCCGAAAUUAUAGAUGGCAAUUAAUGAUUUACCACCUACAGAAACCCUAAUCAGUACACCACGCUCACCACGUUCACUCUCCAUCUACCGCAGAGGCGACUCUCCAUCUACAGCGGCAGCGGCUGGUUUUCGACGGCGAUUUCGAUUUUUUCCGGUGGCGCUUACUGAAAAUCGUGAUCCAAUAUUCUCCGUGAAUGGAAUGGAAUGGACCAUGAGAGUGUCGCAUAUAUCUGUGACCUUGUUGUAGGACUUGAACGUGAGUGCUUCAUCCAGACAUGAGAAAUCCAUUGAUUGCUGCGCCGCUGCAGCAGGACUGGAAAUGCAACAUAUCUAGUAAACGAUCGCAACAAUUCUCAAGGAUGCUCAUACGGUAUUGUGCAUCCAUUUUGUCUUGGGAGGAAAAGGAGGUGAAAAAUGCUGUUGUGGACAAAUACUUUCGAAGAAAUGCAAGGAUCCAAAAUUCAAUGUAAAUUCGAUUCUACUGGGAUGAAAUUUGGGCACAGAGGAGUCCCAUAAAAAAAAUAUGUUUUUUAGAUGAUUGAAGUCAUUUGAAACAUAUGUUUUGGAUGAUACAAUAAAGUCUGGAUUUUGUGUCAAUUGAUUUUGUUUGACUUCAUUGGUUUGUGAUGUGAAAUUAUAGAAUUAUAAUUUCUCAGUAAAAUAUCUGCUAGUGGGACAUUGUUUU